This 253-nucleotide ribosomal RNA is filed under the name uncultured bacterium. RNAcentral's name for it is "partial 16S ribosomal RNA". It matches the Rfam family "Bacterial small subunit ribosomal RNA", at positions 524 to 776 of the family's 1533-position model. The record is from RNAcentral.
UACAGAGGGGGCAAGCGUUAUUCGGAAUUAUUGGGCGUAAAGGGCGCGUAGGCGGCCUGACAAGUGGAAGGUGAAAUCCCUCGGCUUAACCGGGGAACUGCGUCUGAUACUGGAUGGCUUGAGUUCGGGAGAGGGAUGCGGAAUUCCAGGUGUAGCGGUGAAAUGCGUAGAUAUCUGGAGGAACACCGGUGGCGAAGGCGGCAUCCUGGACCGACACUGACGCUGAGGAGCGAAAGCCAGGGGAGCAAACGGG